GACGAACGCUGGCGGCGUGCCUAACACAUGCAAGUCGAACGCGAGUGUCUUUUUUUCGCAAGAAAGCAGACACUUGAGUGGCGAACGGGUGAGUAACACGUGAGCAACUCACCUUCCGGUGGGGGAUAACUGUCCGAAAGGGCGGCUAAUACCCCGUAUGCUCCCUGACCGCCGGGUCAGUGAGGAAAGUGGGCUUCGUAAGAAGCUCAUGCCAGAAGAGAGGCUCGCGCCCCAUCAGCUAGUUGGCGAGGUAACGGCUCACCAAGGCAAUGACGGGUAGCUGGUCUGAGAGGAUGGUCAGCCACACUGGGACUGAGACACGGCCCAGACUCCUACGGGAGGCAGCAGUGAGGAAUUUUGGGCAAUGGGCGAAAGCCUGACCCAGCGACGCCGCGUGGAGGAUGAAGGCCUUCGGUCGUAACUACCUGUUCUGGGGUAAGGAAAACGGGGAAGUAGGCGUGAAUAAUUACAUCCCGCCUCGACGGUACCCCGACGGAGAAACGACUCCGGCGUAACUUUACG
This 522-nucleotide ribosomal RNA is filed under the name uncultured bacterium. RNAcentral describes it as "bacterial SSU rRNA". It matches the Rfam family "Bacterial small subunit ribosomal RNA", at positions 28 to 507 of the family's 1533-position model. The record is from RNAcentral.